RNAcentral lists this small RNA (126 nucleotides) under Salmonella enterica. RNAcentral describes it as "RtT sRNA". It matches the Rfam family "RtT RNA". Rfam says of the family: This family represents a bacterial cis-regulatory element known as RtT RNA. The exact function of RtT is unknown although it is thought that it may be involved in changing the cellular response in relation to amino acid starvation. RNAcentral also lists the same sequence under 1 other name. The record is from RNAcentral. Lineage: Bacteria; Pseudomonadati; Pseudomonadota; Gammaproteobacteria; Enterobacterales; Enterobacteriaceae.
UUGCUAUCUGCGAUAUGGAAGAUUCGAACCUGCCGCAGGUUCGGGUCUCACGCAGUGAGACAACGGAGCCGUUUACGGCGACGGCCCGAAGGGCGAGCGAAGCGAGUCAUCCUGCACAACCCACCA